This 1174-nucleotide long non-coding RNA is filed under the name Astyanax mexicanus (Mexican tetra). RNAcentral describes it as "lncRNA (ENSAMXG00005012120.1)". The record is from RNAcentral. Lineage: Eukaryota; Metazoa; Chordata; Actinopteri; Characiformes; Acestrorhamphidae.
UGGUAGUGGGUUGCAUUAUGGGUAUAGUAGGGAUUUUCGGUUGUUGUCACCGGGUACAGUCACCGGUUUCUUUUUUACUUUAUGUUCAUUUUAACCAAACUAUACAAUACAUGCGUUAUUUAGCUAGCUAGCUUAUCUAGCUACUAUGCUGAAAAAUUCCAAAGGGUUAAGAAAAGUUAAAUAUGUUACUUUACAGUAGCUAGCUAGUUAAGUAGCUAGCUAAAUAGAUUAACUAAAUUAGUUAACUAAUGAACAAGCUGUCUGUUAGCUAGUUAGCUUAGCUAGCUACGUUAGUAACUAACAUAAUUAAGUCAAAUAACAAUGAAAAAUAUAGCAUUAAUAAAACUAAAUCUGGAUUUGCUGUUAUGCAAAUGCUGUUAUGGUAACCUAGCAAGCUAGUCACUGUUCUUGUGUGAACUAACUAGUUUAGCUAGGUUAGCUGUGGUUAGCUAGCUAUGCUGUUAGCUAACCUAGCUGUUAGCUUAGCUAUGUAAUGUUAGCUAGUUGUUUAUACGUUGGAAAAUCAACAACAACAAAAAAAUCAACAAGGGGGCAGUGGUUACCUGCAAAUGUAAUUAAUUAUUUAUUUCUUAAUUUAAUAAAUUAAUAUAGUAUUUUUUUUAUAUGCUGUACUAUUUAUUGUCUACUGUAGCAAUUAAACUACUGGCUGCAAAUUAGCUAUAGCUAUUUAUACAUAUUAAGACUUGAUGUGAGCAAAUUUGUGGAAAGAAACAGAACUGCAGGCAUUGCAAAAGUGACUGAAAGUGGCUUAUGAGGAGCUGGGUUAUAUUGUUGGCUUAAGUUGUUGGAAAUGGAAAACUGCUGCAUGUCUAUGCCAUGGCUUUGUACGAAGAUAAAUUAGCUAAAAUGGCUUGCGUGGAGGUGGGAAGUAAGAAGUUUGAAAUUUUGGAGUUCCCAUAUGUUGUUUGCCAAUUGCAUACUCUUCCAAAUAAAGUCAGCAGGAGGAGAGGAUGUUGGUCUAAUUAGCAGCAAAAGAAUCUACCAUCUCCUCAGCACCUGUCACUGCGGGCUCAACUCUGCCGCCUGGUGGCUGGGGACAGGAAAUGAAUGUUGGAGUGCCCCUGCAUUGCUUCUGUGUAUAGGUAUGUGCUCUUCUUCACACAGCAAUUUCAACAUGUACUGUUGUUUACACACAUCUAGAGGUUCAGGCUGC